This 391-nucleotide unclassified non-coding RNA is filed under the name soil metagenome. Its description in RNAcentral is "partial contains 5.8S ribosomal RNA, internal transcribed spacer 2, and large subunit ribosomal RNA". The stretch from base 1 to 122 matches the Rfam family "5.8S ribosomal RNA", at positions 35 to 154 of the family's 154-position model. The record is from RNAcentral.
GAUGAAGAACGUAGUGAAAUGCGAUACUUGGUGUGAAUUGCAGAAUCCCGUGAACCAUCGAGUUUUUGAACGCAAGUUGCGCCCGAAGCCAUUAGGCCGAGGGCACGCCUGCCUGGGUGUCACACGUCGUUGCCCCCCCAUCUACUCCUUCGGGAUUGCGGGGGGCGGAUGAUGGCCUCCCGUGCGCCUCGUCGCGCGGUUGGCAUAAAUGCCAAGUCCUCGGCGACGCACGCCACGACAAUCGGUGGUUGCGAAACCUCGGUUGCCCGUCGUGUGCGGUCGUCGCGCAUCGAGGGCUCGAAAAAAUUGCCGGGCUCCGGCUCGGCUUUCAACGCGACCCCAGGUCAGGCGGGGUUACCCGCUGAAUUUAAGCAUAUCAAUAAGCGGAGGA